This 941-nucleotide ribosomal RNA is filed under the name Stenotrophomonas sp. RNAcentral's name for it is "bacterial SSU rRNA". It matches the Rfam family "Bacterial small subunit ribosomal RNA", at positions 54 to 984 of the family's 1533-position model. Lineage: Bacteria; Pseudomonadati; Pseudomonadota; Gammaproteobacteria; Lysobacterales; Lysobacteraceae. The record is from RNAcentral.
CAUGCAGUCGAGCGGCAGCACAGGAGAGCUUGCUCUCUGGGUGGCGAGUGGCGGACGGGUGAGGAAUACAUCGGAAUCUACUUUUUCGUGGGGGAUAACGUAGGGAAACUUACGCUAAUACCGCAUACGACCUACGGGUGAAAGCAGGGGAUCUUCGGACCUUGCGCGAUUGAAUGAGCCGAUGUCGGAUUAUCUAGUUGGCGGGGUAAAGGCCCACCAAGGCGACGAUCCGUAGCUGGUCUGAGAGGAUGAUCACCCACACUGGAACUGAGACACGGCCCAGACUCCUACGGGAGGCAGCAGUGGGGAAUAUUGGACAAUGGGCGCAACCCUGAUCCACCCAUACCGCGUGGGUGAAGAAGGCCUUCGGGUUGUAAAGCCCUUUUGUUGGGAAAGAAAUCCAUCUGGCUAAUACCCGGUUGGGAUGACGGUACCCAAAGAAUAAGCACCGGCUAACUUCGUGCCACCAGCCGCGGUAAUACGAAGGGUGCAAGCGUUACUCGGAAUUACUGGGCGUAAAGCGUGCGUAGGUGGUCGUUUAAGUCCGUUGUGAAAGCCCUGGGCUCAACCUGGGAACUGCAGUGGAUACUGGGCGACUAGAGUGUGGUAGAGGGUAGCGGAAUUCCUGGUGUAGCAGUGAAAUGCGUAGAGAUCAGGAGGAACAUCCAUGGCGAAGGCAGCUACCUGGACCAACACUGACACUGAGGCACGAAAGCGUGGGGAGCAAACAGGAUUAUAUACCCUGGUAGUCCACGCCCUAAACGAUGCAAACUGGAUGUUGGGUGCAAUUUGACACGCAGUAUCAAAGCUAACGCUUUAAGUUCCCCGCCUGGGGAGUACGGUCGCAAGACUGAAACUCAAAGGAAUUGACGGGGGCCCGCACAAGCGGUGGAGUAUGUGUUUUAAUUCUAUGCAACGCAAAAAACCUUACCUGGCCUUGA